UCGUCGGUCCCUGGCCGCGCUCCGGCCGAGCCUCUCAGGGAAGUGCAUCCGAUGCACGGCCCGGCGACGGCUGACCGGCCGCUUAGGUCGCGGAAGACCGCCUCCUAUGACCGUGAAAUGGGAAACGCGAAUCGUUUCCAGUGACGAAGUAUCGUGUCGGAUACAUAAACACCGGUAGAAUUAUGCAAUAAAUUGCACGAGAAGUUCUUUGACUGUACAAUCCGAUGUAGAUGUGGAAGAAACGUAAAACGCUGAAAGAGAUCUCUGAGGGACAAGCGGAAGCUUCAGGACUCGUGGUCGAACCGCCUACGUGACUGCGAUAGCUUGAUACAACAAAUGUUUGAUAUUGUUGUAGGGAUCAAAAUUGUACCGAAUAUCAAUAAAAUAUACACAUAUAUGUGUAGGGACAGUUGCGGAUAGCAUAAUAAACGGUGGAGUAAUA
Helicoverpa armigera (cotton bollworm) is the source of this 442-nucleotide long non-coding RNA. RefSeq lists it as uncharacterized. The transcript has 3 exons. NCBI's taxonomy places the organism in Eukaryota, Metazoa, Arthropoda, Insecta, Lepidoptera, Noctuidae. The record is from RefSeq and is a predicted model, not a curated record.